UCUCUAUUCGCAUUAAGCAGAUGCAGAGUGGGGAGUUGCAACACAGGCUUCCUGCUGCUGCCCUGACAAUGUGCCUCAACCCUGCCCUAGAGAAGUGAUCUCUGGGGAUGAAA
RNAcentral lists this small RNA (113 nucleotides) under Sphenodon punctatus (tuatara). RNAcentral's name for it is "TUC338 (ENSSPUG00000010717.1)". Lineage: Eukaryota; Metazoa; Chordata; Lepidosauria; Sphenodontia; Sphenodontidae. The record is from RNAcentral.